UCCGAUUCCUACGGGAGGCAGCAGUGGGGAAUUUUCCGCAAUGGGCGAAAGCCUGACGGAGUGACGCCGCGUGGGGGACGAAGGCCUUCGGGUCGUAAACCCCUGUCAGAGGGAAAGAAGGGUGUCGGCGUGACAAGCGUCGGCAUCUGACGGUACCUUCAGAGGAAGCCCCGGCCAACUCUGUGCCAGCAGCCGCGGUAAGACAGAGGGGGCAAGCGUUGCUCGGAAUCACUGGGCGUAAAGGGCGCGUAGGCGGGGUGGCAAGUCGGUCGUGAAAUCCUUCGGCUCAACCGAAGAACGUCGGCCGAUACUGCCAUUCUUGAGGGAUGCAGAGGAGACUGGAAUUCCCGGUGUAGCGGUGAAAUGUGUAGAGAUCGGGAGGAACACCGGUGGCGAAGGCGGGUCUCUGGGCAUCUCCUGACGCUGAGGCGCGAAAGCGUGGGGAGCAAACGGGAUUAGAUACCCCGGUAGUCCACGCCGUAAACGAUGACGACUAGGUGUGGGGGGUAUCGACCCCCUCCGUGCCGCAGCUAACGCAAUAAGUGUCCCGCCUGGGGAGUACGGCCGCAAGGCUAAAACUCAAAGGAAUUGACGGGGGCCCGCACAAGCAGCGGAGCGUGCGGUUUAAUUCGUCGCAACGCGAAGAACCUUACCAAGGCUUGACAUGCUAGUGGUACUGAUCCGAAAGGUGAGGGACCCUUCGGGGAGCUAGCACAGGUGCUGCAUGGCUGUCGUCAGCUCGUGCCGUGAGAUGUUGGGUUAAGUCCCGCAACGAGCGCAACCCUUGUUCGCUGUUGCCAUCAGGUUACGCUGGGCACUCUGCGAAGACUGCCGGUGAUAAACCGGAGGAAGGUGGGGAUGACGUCAAGUCAGCAUGGCCUUUAUGUCUGGGGCCACACACGUGCUACAAUGGCCGGUACAAACCGUCGCGAGCCCGCAAGGGGGAGCUAAUCGGAGAAAGCCGGUCUCAGUUCGGAUUGCAGGCUGCAACUCGCCUGCAUGAAGUUGGAAUCGCUAGUAAUCGCGGAUCAGCAUGCCGCGGUGAAUACGUUCCCGGGCCUUGUACACACCGCCAUCCAUAUGA
Molecule: ribosomal RNA, 1084 nt
Filed under: uncultured bacterium
Lineage: Bacteria
Description: bacterial SSU rRNA
Rfam family: Bacterial small subunit ribosomal RNA
Source: RNAcentral